This 399-nucleotide ribosomal RNA is filed under the name bacterium 4B-15. RNAcentral's name for it is "bacterial SSU rRNA". It matches the Rfam family "Bacterial small subunit ribosomal RNA", at positions 14 to 443 of the family's 1533-position model. The record is from RNAcentral.
UGAUCAUGGCUCAGAACGAACGCUGGCGGCAGGCUUAACACAUGCAAGUCGAACGCCCCGCAAGGGGAGUGGCAGACGGGUGAGUAACGCGUGGGAACAUACCCUUUCCUGCGGAAUAGCUCCGGGAAACUGGAAUUAAUACCGCAUACGCCCUACGGGGGAAAGAUUUAUCGGGGAAGGAUUGGCCCGCGUUGGAUUAGCUAGUUGGUGGGGUAAAGGCCUACCAAGGCGACGAUCCAUAGCUGGUCUGAGAGGAUGAUCAGCCACAUUGGGACUGAGACACGGCCCAAACUCCUACGGGAGGCAGCAGUGGGGAAUAUUGGACAAUGGGCGCAAGCCUGAUCCAGCCAUGCCGCGUGAGUGAUGAAGGCCUUAGGGUUGUAAAGCUCUUUCACCGAU